RNAcentral lists this ribosomal RNA (520 nucleotides) under uncultured Glomus. RNAcentral's name for it is "SSU rRNA". It matches the Rfam family "Eukaryotic small subunit ribosomal RNA", at positions 569 to 1090 of the family's 1831-position model. The record is from RNAcentral. Lineage: Eukaryota; Fungi; Glomeromycota; Glomeromycetes; Glomerales; Glomeraceae.
AGCAGCCGCGGUAAUUCCAGCUCCAAUAGCGUAUAUUAAAGUUGUUGCAGUUAAAAAGCUCGUAGUUGAAUUUCGGGGUCAGUAAGUUGGUCGUGCCACUGGUAUGUACUGGCCUUACUGAUUCCUCCUUCUUGUAGAACCGUAAUGCCAUUAAGUUGGUGUUGCGGGAAAACAGGACUGUUACUUUGAAAAAAUUAGAGUGUUUAAAGCAAGCUAACGCUUGAAUACAUUAGCAUGGAAUAAUGAAAUAGGACGAACGAUCCUAUUUUGUUGGUUUCUAGGAUUGACGUAAUGAUUAAUAGGGAUAGUUGGGGGCAUUAGUAUUCAAUUGUCAGAGGUGAAAUUCUUGGAUUUAUUGAAGACUAACUACUGCGAAAGCAUUUGCCAAGGAUGUUUUCAUUAAUCAAGAACGAAAGUUAGGGGAUCGAAGACGAUCAGAUACCGUCGUAGUCUUAACCAUAAACUAUGCCGACUAGGGAUCGGAUGAUGUUAAUUUUUUAAUGACUCAUUCGGCGCCUUA